Long non-coding RNA from Callorhinchus milii (elephant shark), 837 nucleotides. RefSeq lists it as uncharacterized. The transcript has 2 exons. NCBI's taxonomy places the organism in Eukaryota, Metazoa, Chordata, Chondrichthyes, Chimaeriformes, Callorhinchidae. The record is from RefSeq and is a predicted model, not a curated record.
CUCUGUAAAUACACACAAUCCACCCAACCUCAGGUGGAAUUUCUCCCCACCUGUCCAGAGUACAACACCUGAUUCAGGAAGCUCCAAUAAAAAGGCUGACAACCUUUGAAUUGCCACUUAAGCACAGCCAUUUAGAGAAGGAAGCUACAAAAGUGAGUGCUCCUUCAACUCAGCAUAAGGAAUCAUGAAGCUUACCGUCAGCCUGCUCGGUCUCAUCACCCUUCUGGCAUCCAAUCUUCCAAGUUCGUCAGCUACUGUAGCUUCAUUAGUGAAUGGCACUCAGACACCAGCAGUGAAUGGCACUCAGCCACCAGCAGUGAAUGGCACUCAGCCACCAGCAGUGAAUGGCACUCAGCCACCAACACCAGCAUGGAAUGGCACUCAGACAUCUACACCAGCAUGGAAUGUCACUCAGCCACCAGCAGUGAAUAACACUAAGCCAUGGAUAAGUAACCCAGCAACCCCAACGAUACGCCCCACAGAUGCUGGGCCAGUUUCGGCGACCAUUACAUCUUUUACCCUGGUCCUGAGCUCUGGAUUCUCUAUAAUCCUCCAUUACAUUCUGCACAAAUAGCCUUCAAGCCAGGACACCAGCUUGGCUAUCCAACACAUACCUGCCUCGGUUUAAUCAAGAGGAGACGACGCACUAUAAUCGUCAUCUCUCUGUUGUAAGCAGUUUUUUUUUCGUUUCUAAUGAAGUCUGUUUGGGAGCAAUCUAUCACCUACAAAAUUCUUUACAAAAUUCAGGCACCUUCUGAUCAUAUUUUCACUUUACAGCAAAAUUCUUGUUGUAAUUCAUGUUGUGACGCACCAUAAAUAAACUAAUUAUCCUUCCAA